This 236-nucleotide ribosomal RNA is filed under the name Salmonella enterica. Its description in RNAcentral is "partial 16S ribosomal RNA". It matches the Rfam family "Bacterial small subunit ribosomal RNA", at positions 1 to 233 of the family's 1533-position model. The record is from RNAcentral. Lineage: Bacteria; Pseudomonadati; Pseudomonadota; Gammaproteobacteria; Enterobacterales; Enterobacteriaceae.
AAAUUGAAGAGUUUGAUCAUGGCUCAGAUUGAACGCUGGCGGCAGGCCUAACACAUGCAAGUCGAACGGUAACAGGAAGCAGCUUGCUGCUUUGCUGACGAGUGGCGGACGGGUGAGUAAUGUCUGGGAAACUGCCUGAUGGAGGGGGAUAACUACUGGAAACGGUGGCUAAUACCGCAUAACGUCGCAAGACCAAAGAGGGGGAUCUUCGGGCCUCUUGCCAUCAGAUGUGCCCA